UAGUUCAGCUGGUUAGAAUGCCGGAUUGUGAUUCCGGAGGUCGUGGGUUCAAGCCCCAUCAGCCACCCCA
RNAcentral lists this transfer RNA (70 nucleotides) under Rhodospirillaceae bacterium. Its description in RNAcentral is "tRNA-His". It matches the Rfam family "tRNA". Rfam says of the family: Transfer RNA (tRNA) molecules are approximately 80 nucleotides in length. Lineage: Bacteria; Pseudomonadati; Pseudomonadota; Alphaproteobacteria; Rhodospirillales; Rhodospirillaceae. The record is from RNAcentral.